RNAcentral lists this unclassified non-coding RNA (332 nucleotides) under soil metagenome. RNAcentral's name for it is "partial contains 5.8S ribosomal RNA, internal transcribed spacer 2, and large subunit ribosomal RNA". The stretch from base 1 to 120 matches the Rfam family "5.8S ribosomal RNA", at positions 35 to 154 of the family's 154-position model. The record is from RNAcentral.
GAUGAAGAACGCAGCGAAAUGCGAUAAGUAAUGUGAAUUGCAGAAUUCAGUGAAUCAUCGAAUCUUCGAACGCACAUUGCGCCCGCCACUAUUCUGGCGGGCAUGCCUGUUCGAGCGUCAUUUAAACCUUCAAGCUAAGCUUGGUGUUGGGUGACUGUCCGCUUCACGGCGGACUCGCCUCAAAAUUAUUGGCGGCCGGUACAUUGGCUUCGAGCGCAGCAGAAACGCGAACUCGGGCCCGUCGUAUUGGCUCCCAGAAGCUAUCUUCACAAUUUUGACCUCGGAUCAGGUAGGGAUACCCGCUGAACUUAAGCAUAUCAAUAAGCGGAGGA